This 253-nucleotide ribosomal RNA is filed under the name uncultured bacterium. Its description in RNAcentral is "partial 16S ribosomal RNA". It matches the Rfam family "Bacterial small subunit ribosomal RNA", at positions 524 to 776 of the family's 1533-position model. The record is from RNAcentral.
UACGGAGGAUGCAAGCGUUAUCCGGAAUGAUUGGGCGUAAAGCGUCCGCAGGUGGCUGUGUAAGUCUGCUGUCAAAGAGCGAAGCUCAACUUCGUAAAGGCAGUGGAAACUACACGGCUAGAGUGCGGAAGGGGCUACUGGAAUUCUCGGUGUAGCGGUGAAAUGCGUAGAUAUCGAGAGGAACACCUGCGGCGAAGGCGGGUAGCUGGGCCGACACUGACGCUGAUGCGCGAAAGCCAGGGGAGCGAACGGG